CUGCAACUCGCCUGCAUGAAGUCGGAAUUGCUAGUAAUCGCAGAUCAGCAUGCUGCGGUGAAUACGUUCCCGGGCCUUGUACACACCGCCCGUCACACCNUGGGAGUCGGUAACACCCAAAGUUGGUAGCCUAACCGCAAGGAGGGCGCCGCCUAAGGUGGGAUUGAUGACUGGGGUGAAGUCGUAACAAGGUACC
RNAcentral lists this ribosomal RNA (196 nucleotides) under uncultured bacterium. RNAcentral describes it as "partial 16S ribosomal RNA". It matches the Rfam family "Bacterial small subunit ribosomal RNA", at positions 1305 to 1500 of the family's 1533-position model. The record is from RNAcentral.